This 429-nucleotide ribosomal RNA is filed under the name bacterium. RNAcentral's name for it is "partial 16S ribosomal RNA". It matches the Rfam family "Bacterial small subunit ribosomal RNA", at positions 355 to 776 of the family's 1533-position model. The record is from RNAcentral.
UAGGGAAUCUUCGGCAAUGGGGGCAACCCUGACCGAGCAACGCCGCGUGAGUGAAGAAGGUUUUCGGAUCGUAAAGCUCUGUUGUAAGAGAAGAACGUGUGUGAGAGUGGAAAGUUCACACAGUGACGGUAACUUACCAGAAAGGGACGGCUAACUACGUGCCAGCAGCCGCGGUAAUACGUAGGUCCCGAGCGUUGUCCGGAUUUAUUGGGCGUAAAGCGAGCGCAGGCGGUUUAAUAAGUCUGAAGUUAAAGGCAGUGGCUUAACCAUUGUUCGCUUUGGAAACUGUUAAACUUGAGUGCAGAAGGGGAGAGUGGAAUUCCAUGUGGAGCGGUGAAAUGCGUAGGUAUAUGGAGGAACACCGGUGGCGAAAGCGGCUCUCUGGUCUGUAACUGACGCUGAGGCUCGAAAGCGUGGGGAGCAAACAGG